RNAcentral lists this ribosomal RNA (643 nucleotides) under uncultured bacterium. RNAcentral's name for it is "bacterial SSU rRNA". It matches the Rfam family "Bacterial small subunit ribosomal RNA", at positions 232 to 885 of the family's 1533-position model. The record is from RNAcentral.
CGCGGCCUAUCAGCUUGUUGGUGGGGUAGUGGCCUACCAAGGCGACGACGGGUAGCCGGCCUGAGAGGGUGACCGGCCACACUGGGACUGAGACACGGCCCAGACUCCUACGGGAGGCAGCAGUGGGGAAUAUUGCGCAAUGGGCGAAAGCCUGACGCAGCGACGCCGCGUGGGGGAUGACGGCCUUCGGGUUGUAAACCUCUUUCAGCAGGGACGAAGCGAAAGUGACGGUACCUGCAGAAGAAGCACCGGCCAACUACGUGCCAGCAGCCGCGGUAAUACGUAGGGUGCAAGCGUUGUCCGGAAUUAUUGGGCGUAAAGAGCUCGUAGGCGGUUCGUCGCGUCGGCUGUGAAAUCCCGAGGCUCAACCUCGGGUCUGCAGUCGAUACGGGCGGACUUGAGUUCGGCAGGGGAGACUGGAAUUCCUGGUGUAGCGGUGAAAUGCGCAGAUAUCAGGAGGAACACCGGUGGCGAAGGCGGGUCUCUGGGCCGAAACUGACGCUGAGGAGCGAAAGCGUGGGGAGCGAACAGGAUUAGAUACCCUGGUGGUCCACGCCGUAAACGUUGGGCGCUAGGUGUGGGGCUCAUUCCACGAGUUCCGUGCCGCAGCUAACGCAUUAAGCGCCCCGCCUGGGGAGUACGG